AGAGUUUGAUCCUGGCUCAGAACGAACGCUGGCGGCGUGCCUAACACAUGCAAGUCGUACGAGAAAAUCCGCUUCGGCGGGUGAGUAAAGUGGCGCACGGGUGAGUAACGCGUGGAUAAUCUGCCUUUAAGCGGGGAAUAACUUACCGAAAGGUGGGCUAAUACCCCAUAAAGCUAUGGAGCUCCGGUUUUCAUAGCCAAAGAGAGCCUCUGCAUGCAAGCCCUCACUUAGAGAUGAGUCCGCGUACCAUUAGCUAGUUGGUGGGGUAAUGGCCUACCAAGGCGACGAUGGUUAGCUGGUCUGAGAGGAUGAUCAGCCACACUGGAACUGACACACGGUCCAGACUCCUACGGGAGGCAGCAGUGAGGAAUAUUACGCAAUGGGGGCAACCCUGACGCAGCAACGCCGCGUGAGUGAGGAAGGUUUUCGGAUCGUAAAGCUCUGUCGGGUGGGAAGAAAUGUAUGGAGGUUAACAGCCUUUGUACUUGACGGUACCGCCAAAGGAAGCACCGGCUAACUCCGUGCCAGCAGCCGCGGUAAUACGGGGGGUGCUAGCGUUGUUCGGAAUCAUUGGGCGUAAAGAGCGUGUAGGCGGCUAGGCAAGUCAGAUGUGAAAUCCCUGGGCUUAACCCAGGACGUGCAUUUGAAACUGCUUGGCUUGAGUAGGGAAGAGGGAAGUGGAAUUCCUGGUGUAGAGGUGAAAUUCGUAGAUAUCAGGAGGAACACCGGUGGCGAAGGCGACUUCCUGGUCCUAUACUGACGCUGAGACGCGAGAGCGUGGGGAGCAAACAGGAUUAGAUACCCUGGUAGUCCACGCCGUAAACGAUG
Molecule: ribosomal RNA, 828 nt
Filed under: uncultured bacterium
Lineage: Bacteria
Description: bacterial SSU rRNA
Rfam family: Bacterial small subunit ribosomal RNA
Source: RNAcentral